RNAcentral lists this ribosomal RNA (274 nucleotides) under uncultured bacterium. RNAcentral's name for it is "partial 16S ribosomal RNA". It matches the Rfam family "Bacterial small subunit ribosomal RNA", at positions 523 to 796 of the family's 1533-position model. The record is from RNAcentral.
AUACGGAGGGUGCAAGCGUUGUUCGGAAUCACUGGGCGUAAAGGGCGCGCAGGCGGUUUUACAAGUCAGAAGUGAAAGCCCACGGCUCAACCGUGGAAGUGCAUUUGAAACUGUAAGACUGGAGUAUCAGAGGGGAAGGUGGAAUUCCCGGUGUAGAGGUGAAAUUCGUAGAUAUCGGGAGGAAUACCGGUGGCGAAGGCGACUUUCUGGCUGAAUACUGACGCUGAGGCGCGAAAGCGUGGGGAGCAAACAGGAUUAGAAACCCUAGUAGUCC